Molecule: ribosomal RNA, 393 nt
Filed under: uncultured bacterium
Lineage: Bacteria
Description: partial 16S ribosomal RNA
Rfam family: Bacterial small subunit ribosomal RNA
Source: RNAcentral
AUACGGAGGAUCCGAGCGUUAUCCGGAUUCAUUGGGGUUAAAGGGUGCGUAGGCGGCCUUUUAAGUCAGCGGUGAAAGUCUGUGGCUCAACCUUAAAAUUGCAGUUGAUACUGGUUUCCUUGAGUACGGUACAGGUGGGCGGAAUUCGUGGGGUAGCGGGGAAAUGCUUCGAUAUCACGAAGAACUCCGAUCGCGAAGGCAGCUCACCGGGCCGGAACUGACACUGAUGCUCGAAAGUGCGGGUAUCAAACAGGAUUAGAUACCCUGGUAGUCCGCACAGUAAACGAUGAAUACUCGCUGUUUGCGAUACACUGUAAGCGGCCAAGCGAAAGCGUUAAGUAUUCCACCUGGGGAGUACGCCGGCAACGGUGAAACUCAAAGGAAUUGGCGGGG